AUGGCGGAGGAGCAGAUGGAGGAGGCGGCGUCGUCCGCGGCGGCCUCCGGCACGCCGUUCCAGCUCCAGUUCGACAAGCCCAUCCCCUUCCAGAUAAAAUUGGCAGAGUGGAACCCAGAGAAGGAUCUGCUUGCUAUGGUUACUGAUGACUCCAAGGUUCUCCUCCAUCGCUUCAAUUGGCAACGGCUGUGGACUAUAUCCCCUGGGAAGUGCAUCACAUCAAUUUGCUGGAGCCCUGAUGGUAAAAUAGUAGCACUUGGUACAGAAGAUGGUUUUGUUCUUUUGCAUGAUGUGGAGAAUGGGAAGAUGUUACGAAGUAUAAAAUCUCAUGAUGUUGCCAUCGUAUGUCUGAAUUGGGCAGAAGACGAACCACUAUCAAGGACUGACAAGGAAGACUUGUUAUCUUAUGAAGACCGCACUACACGUUUCUUUCCUCCUGCUCCCGUGAUGCCUAGGAUAGGCGGGCUCAAUUCGGGAGAUACUGGUCUUGCAGAUGAGAAUGAAGAAGCCAUUCAGGCAUUUUCAAGUGCUUCGUGUCAACGUUUUAAUAUUCUGUGCACUGGUGAUAAAGAUGGUUGCAUUUGCUUCAGUAUUUUUGGAAUAUUUCCAGUUGGAAAGAUAAACAUAAAUAAGGUUCCAAUCCAUGUACAAUCCUCUGGAAAAAGAACUAGCUACCGACUUCAGGAUGUUUCCAUAAGCAAGGUCUCUUUAUCACGAAAUCUCCAUCAGUUGGUUCUUCUGUGCUCUGGAAAGCUGAUUAAUACUGACAACCUUUCUCUCAGUAAUGAUCUUUCUGUUGGGAUACAUUGUUUGCACCUUGAUACCUCUAUCUUUUUCAGCAGGAAAAAUGAGCUACAUCAGGUGUCUCAACAAGCGUCAAGUAUUCAAGAUCUGGUCGAAGUUGCCCGUGCUUCCAUAUCUAUGAUGUCCAAACAAUGGUCAAAUGCUAUGAACUUAUUUCAUGAGAAAUUUAGUGCCUUGCCUUCUCUGCUUACUGCCCAUGGGAUGGAAUCUAGCUCCGAGGAUGAGUUUAUGAGCCUUUUGUUUGGGACACAUACAAGUCCGGCUCUACAUCAAUUUCUAGUCAGCUCCCUUGGUGAAGCGGGACUCAAGAGGAUAGCUAAGACUAUUGAAAGUGCUGGAAGAGAACUUCGUAUUGUUGUCAGUGAGCAUCUUCAGCCUGCAGUCGAAAUUAUUUCAUUCAGACUUGCAGAACUGAGAGGCCUUGCGAGAUGGCGUUCAAGAUUUCAGAACAUUGGGUUAGAUGAAAAGCUUAUGGAUGGUGUAACUGAGAGGGUAGGGAUGCUAGUUGUGCAAGUUGAGCGCUUUUCAAGGGUUGCAGCUACUGUUCUUUAUCUGUUCCAAAAUUUCUUCAGCUGGGUUUUGAAGUGUGUUAAGAUAUUGUUAAGUGAACCAACUGAUCAAGUUCCAUCCACAAACAGUGAACUUGUGGUGAUUUUUCUGAAGUUUCUUCUUGGUAAGGAUCCAAUCAAGCAGUUACUUGAAACAGAUCAGAUAUUUGAGUGGGAUAUUGAUACUGCGAAACAUGUUGAGCAUCUAGUAGUUUUUGGAGGAUUUACAGACACAAAGUUUUUGGAAAGGAGUUUGGCCAAGCAGUUUAGCGAGUUGGAAGAAAGCUUGAAGGAGGCUUUCUUGAUGCCAUUCACCACUGUAUCUUCAAAAAUACAUUGCCAAGGAUUGCUUCCUCUUUAUCCUGUUACAUCGUCCGAUGCCUUGUCAUCAACCAGUACUCCAGCAUCAAUUGCGUUCUAUAAGCAGGAUAAAGAUUCUCAGCAUAAUGCUUCUUCAUAUAGCUCGACUGACUACAUAUGCUUCAAGAUACCUGAUGGAUCGUUAAAUUUAAGAAAUUUCGUUGCUGUGAUAAAGGACUUCUGCAACUCAUGUAGUACCUCCAACACACCAUCACUUUCAGGUUUUCUGUUGCAUAUACCUGUAGAAUACGAGUGUGUUGAUCUGUCUCUUUACAAGGACAACCAGGUGGUUUUACUACUUAGUGGAAAGUCCAGCUCUGAAAGUGCCGGGAGAUCUUGGAUGGUUAUGCUGCAGACAGAGAACCUCUCUUUUUCACAGCUCUCAAGAACGUUCCCUGCAAAUUAUUACAAUCUCCAAGAAUUGGAGGCGCUGGAACUCCAAUUGGAUACAGAUUAUGGAAAAGUUCGUAGCAUCCCUCACCCUUUGUCUACUCCGCUGGCAGUCAGUGCCUCAAGAGGAGUGGCUUGUGUCUUCUCAUCGCGGAGGCAUGCUUUGGUCUAUAUCCUUGAUGAGGACGAAGACGAGGAUGAAGAUGAAGAUUCUGAGAUGGAGUGA
This 2328-nucleotide ribosomal RNA is filed under the name Triticum aestivum (bread wheat). RNAcentral's name for it is "partial small subunit ribosomal RNA". Lineage: Eukaryota; Viridiplantae; Streptophyta; Magnoliopsida; Poales; Poaceae. The record is from RNAcentral.